UAGGGAAUCUUCCGCAAUGGGCGAAAGCCUGACGGAGCAACGCCGCGUGAGUGAUGAAGGUCUUCGGAUCGUAAAACUCUGUUAUUAGGGAAGAACAAAUGUGUAAGUAACUAUGCACGACUUGACGGUACCUAAUCAGAAAGCCACGGCUAACUACGUGCCAGCAGCCGCGGUAAUACGUAGGUGGCAAGCGUUAUCCGGAAUUAUUGGGCGUAAAGCGCGCGUAGGCGGUUUUUUAAGUCUGAUGUGAAAGCCCACGGCUCAACCGUGGAGGGUCAUUGGAAACUGGAAAACUUGAGUGCAGAAGAGGAAAGUGGAAUUCCAUGUGUAGCGGUGAAAUGCGCAGAGAUAUGGAGGAACACCAGUGGCGAAGGCGACUUUCUGGUCUGUAACUGACGCUGAUGUGCGAAAGCGUGGGGAUCAAACAGG
This 429-nucleotide ribosomal RNA is filed under the name Actinomycetes bacterium. Its description in RNAcentral is "Actinobacteria bacterium partial 16S ribosomal RNA". It matches the Rfam family "Bacterial small subunit ribosomal RNA", at positions 355 to 776 of the family's 1533-position model. Lineage: Bacteria; Bacillati; Actinomycetota; Actinomycetes. The record is from RNAcentral.